GAGGACAGAUUGCAGCUAUCUCAGAAUCAUGUUGGUCUUUGGAGGUUUUCCCAGAAUCCCAGGGGACAGAUAGAACAUUUCUGCAGUGUCAACUAUGGGUGACAUCACAAUAUCACCCAGGAAGUAGAAGGAUUUUGGUGAGGGAUAGACAAUGGGAGACUGCCAUCAUUUCAGUGUUUUCCACACUUAGGGGGUGUAUAGUAGAAAAAGAGGAAAGCUGGCUUAGGGUAUCCAAGUCUGGGGUUCUGGGGCUGCUUCCCCUACUUACUCACCAUGCAACCUCUCUAAGCAUCAGAGUUUUUAUUUUAAUCUGUACAAGGUGGCUAAUAAUAUUUAAUAUAGCUCUCAUACUCAUCUUGUGCAAUUAAUUAUGAGACUCCAACUGGAAACUACCUGUGAGAAUGCUUUUACACAAAGUCAUACACACAUAAGGGACCUGCAUUCUUAGUAUCAAGAGGGUUGCAGGGGCCCAGGGAAUUUCUGACUCUCUCCCACUCCUUUGCCCUGAACUGGCCUCACCUAGUCUCCUGCUGCUUAUGUGAACCAUGCUCUGAGUGGUACCUGAAGCAUGCCACACAAGGAAGGAAGGUGGCCACCAUCUCUUAUCUCACAAUUUCCCUGCUUCAACCCCAGUCCCUCCACUGGGAGGGAAUCAGGGGAAAUAUAAGGAAGAAGACAGGAGAAGAAAUAAGAUUGGACCUAUAAUCUCUAAAGAUAACAGAACUGAGGCACAGAUUGGUUAUGUAGCAUGCCUGAAGUUACACAGCCUGUAAGAGCAAAGCUGGAUUGCAAACCAGAUCUCGUGACUACAAACUCUGGCCUUUGGCUUGAUUUUCUGCCAUGUUCCUGGUGAUCAGUCUCAACAGAAGCCCAGCACUGUCCUGAUGGCCUUUCCUGAUUUCUACCAGCUGUGAGCUCCUCAAGCCUUGGUUUGCAUCCCUCAAGCCUUGACUACUUCUUCCCAACCCAGCCUCUGAUUUACAAUCUCUGGCUCCAAUCCUGCCCACAUCUUGAUGAGACAUAACAAAGAUGAUCUACAACUGAGAUUUGAACCUUGUUUGGACUACAGUGUUGGGAUGCAUUUCGGUGGAACAGGAGAAAUAAUCCUCAAUGAAGCCUCAGGGGUUGGAGUCAUACUUCUCUAGGAUUAACUGAUAUUUACUGGUGAUCUUUCUUUCCACUAUUAAACAGGGCCACCUGCUAAGACCCUCCACUCUCAAUGCUUUGGAAUGCAUCUCACCUAGUUCAAUGGUUUUCAAUGCUGGCUGUGCAU
Long non-coding RNA from Symphalangus syndactylus (siamang), 1273 nucleotides. RefSeq lists it as uncharacterized. NCBI's taxonomy places the organism in Eukaryota, Metazoa, Chordata, Mammalia, Primates, Hylobatidae. The record is from RefSeq and is a predicted model, not a curated record.